UGACUUCUCCAUUUAUGUCCAAUGGUAA
Molecule: non-coding RNA, 28 nt
Filed under: Rattus norvegicus (Norway rat)
Lineage: Eukaryota; Metazoa; Chordata; Mammalia; Rodentia; Muridae
Source: RNAcentral